UAAUUUUUAUGGAGAGUUUGAUCCUGGCUCAGGAUGAACGCUGGCGGCGUGCCUAAUACAUGCAAGUCGAGCGAACGGACGAGAAGCUUGCUUCUCUGAUGUUAGCGGCGGACGGGUGAGUAACACGUGGAUAACCUACCUAUAAGACUGGGAUAACUUCGGGAAACCGGAGCUAAUACCGGAUAAUAUUUUGAACCGCAUGGUUCAAAAGUGAAAGACGGUCUUGCUGUCACUUAUAGAUGGAUCCGCGCUGCAUUAGCUAGUUGGUAAGGUAACGGCUUACCAAGGCAACGAUGCAUAGCCGACCUGAGAGGGUGAUCGGCCACACUGGAACUGAGACACGGUCCAGACUCCUACGGGAGGCAGCAGUAGGGAAUCUUCCGCAAUGGGCGAAAGCCUGACGGAGCAACGCCGCGUGAGUGAUGAAGGUCUUCGGAUCGUAAAACUCUGUUAUUAGGGAAGAACAUAUGUGUAAGUAACUGUGCACAUCUUGACGGUACCUAAUCAGAAAGCCACGGCUAACUACGUGCCAGCAGCCGCGGUAAUACGUAGGUGGCAAGCGUUAUCCGGAAUUAUUGGGCGUAAAGCGCGCGUAGGCGGUUUUUUAAGUCUGAUGUGAAAGCCCACGGCUCAACCGUGGAGGGUCAUUGGAAACUGGAAAACUUGAGUGCAGAAGAGGAAAGUGGAAUUCCAUGUGUAGCGGUGAAAUGCGCAGAGAUAUGGAGGAACACCAGUGGCGAAGGCGACUUUCUGGUCUGUAACUGACGCUGAUGUGCGAAAGCGUGGGGAUCAAACAGGAUUAGAUACCCUGGUAGUCCACGCCGUAAACGAUGAGUGCUAAGUGUUAGGGGGUUUCCGCCCCUUAGUGCUGCAGCUAACGCAUUAAGCACUCCGCCUGGGGAGUACGACCGCAAGGUUGAAACUCAAAGGAAUUGACGGGGACCCGCACAAGCGGUGGAGCAUGUGGUUUAAUUCGAAGCAACGCGAAGAACCUUACCAAAUCUUGACAUCCUUUGACAACUCUAGAGAUAGAGCCUUCCCCUUCGGGGGACAAAGUGACAGGUGGUGCAUGGUUGUCGUCAGCUCGUGUCGUGAGAUGUUGGGUUAAGUCCCGCAACGAGCGCAACCCUUAAGCUUAGUUGCCAUCAUUAAGUUGGGCACUCUAAGUUGACUGCCGGUGACAAACCGGAGGAAGGUGGGGAUGACGUCAAAUCAUCAUGCCCCUUAUGAUUUGGGCUACACACGUGCUACAAUGGACAAUACAAAGGGCAGCGAAACCGCGAGGUCAAGCAAAUCCCAUAAAGUUGUUCUCAGUUCGGAUUGUAGUCUGCAACUCGACUACAUGAAGCUGGAAUCGCUAGUAAUCGUAGAUCAGCAUGCUACGGUGAAUACGUUCCCGGGUCUUGUACACACCGCCCGUCACACCACGAGAGUUUGUAACACCCGAAGCCGGUGGAGUAACCUUUUAGGAGCUAGCCGUCGAAGGUGGGACAAAUGAUUGGGGUGAAGUCGUAACAAGGUAGCCGUAUCGGAAGGUGCGGCUGGAUCACCUCCUUUCUAAG
RNAcentral lists this ribosomal RNA (1562 nucleotides) under Staphylococcus aureus. Its description in RNAcentral is "16S ribosomal RNA". It matches the Rfam family "Bacterial small subunit ribosomal RNA". The record is from RNAcentral. Lineage: Bacteria; Bacillati; Bacillota; Bacilli; Caryophanales; Staphylococcaceae. RNAcentral also lists the same sequence under 2 other names.